Molecule: ribosomal RNA, 274 nt
Filed under: uncultured bacterium
Lineage: Bacteria
Description: partial 16S ribosomal RNA
Rfam family: Bacterial small subunit ribosomal RNA
Source: RNAcentral
AUACGAAGGGGGCAAGCGUUGUUCGGAAUAACUGGGCGUAAAGCGUACGUAGGCGGCAAGUUAAGUUAGAUGUGAAAGCCCCGGGCUCAACCUGGGAACUGCAUUUAAAACUGGCUUGCUAGAGUUGAGUAGAGGGGAGUGGAAUUUCAGGUGUAGCGGUGAAAUGCGUAGAGAUCUGAAGGAACACCAGUGGCGAAGGCGACUCCCUGGACUCGAACUGACGCUGAGGUACGAAAGCGUGGGUAGCAAACGGGAUUAGAAACCCUAGUAGUCC